Pelobates cultripes (western spadefoot toad) is the source of this 689-nucleotide non-coding RNA. Lineage: Eukaryota; Metazoa; Chordata; Amphibia; Anura; Pelobatidae. The record is from the annotation of a GenBank genome assembly.
UAAUUAUAAAAAUAUCAAGUUUUAUUUUAUGUAGUCUCGCUUUUACCACUUAUUACAGAUAUCACCGUAGAGCACGUAUCUGACAGAUUUGUUUUUCUUAAUUACCAUUUGACUCAAAACACAGGAGCGUACCAUAUUUCUUUUUGGAGUGGGGUAUCAAACGAGAAAAUAUAGAAAGAAAAUGCACACUGCAGCAAUAAGUCUUAAUGGAAUAAUCUUAAAUGUUAUAUGGGGUUAGGAUUUAGUUUGUAUGCAUACAUUUAUGUUUAAAAGGACACUCCAUUGGCUAAAUAAAUAUAAUAGUUUAGUAUAUCAGUCCCCAAUAAAUACUUACAUGCAUUUUAUGUACGUUUUCAUUGGGGGUCUAUCCAAAGACAGCUUGCAAAAGCUGCAGAUCUCUUGUCUGCAGCCUUUGCAAUCCAGACUGUCCAAUAACAGACUUCCGAGUGCAGUUCAAUGUGAAGUCUUUGCAAGGCAGGUGCUGUUGUCGUCCUCCUGAGUUUAGCUUCACUGAGUUUAAACUACCAGGAAGUAACAGGACCGGCUGUCUGAUUGACAGCUCGGGGGGUGGGGGUGGGUGGAUGUAAAAAUAUUUACUUAUAACAUUUCUAUUAUCUUUUUGUUAAAUGAAAAAUAAGAAGACCCUUUAUUCACACUAAAAACACUUCAGAAAGUUUUAGGGGUCUGGA